RNAcentral lists this ribosomal RNA (428 nucleotides) under Gemmatimonadota bacterium. Its description in RNAcentral is "Gemmatimonadetes bacterium partial 16S ribosomal RNA". It matches the Rfam family "Bacterial small subunit ribosomal RNA", at positions 356 to 776 of the family's 1533-position model. The record is from RNAcentral. Lineage: Bacteria; Pseudomonadati; Gemmatimonadota.
UAGGAAUCUUCGGCAAUGGACGAAAGUCUGACCGAGCAACGCCGCGUGAGUGAAGAAGGUUUUCGGAUCGUAAAACUCUGUUGUUAGAGAAGAACAAGGACGUUAGUAACUGAACGUCCCCUGACGGUAUCUAACCAGAAAGCCACGGCUAACUACGUGCCAGCAGCCGCGGUAAUACGUAGGUGGCAAGCGUUGUCCGGAUUUAUUGGGCGUAAAGCGAGCGCAGGCGGUUUCUUAAGUCUGAUGUGAAAGCCCCCGGCUCAACCGGGGAGGGUCAUUGGAAACUGGGAGACUUGAGUGCAGAAGAGGAGAGUGGAAUUCCAUGUGUAGCGGUGAAAUGCGUAGAUAUAUGGAGGAACACCAGUGGCGAAGGCGGCUCUCUGGUCUGUAACUGACGCUGAGGCUCGAAAGCGUGGGGAGCAAACAGG